This 250-nucleotide ribosomal RNA is filed under the name uncultured bacterium. RNAcentral describes it as "partial 16S ribosomal RNA". It matches the Rfam family "Bacterial small subunit ribosomal RNA", at positions 524 to 773 of the family's 1533-position model. The record is from RNAcentral.
GACGAAGGAUCCAAGCGUUGUCCGGAUUUACUGGGUUUAAAGGGUGCGUAGGCGGAGUUCUAAGUCAGUGGUGAAAGCCCGCAGCUUAACUGCGGAACUGCCAUUGAAACUGGAAUUCUUGAAUGCGGUGGAGGUAGAUGGAAUGUAACAUGUAGCGGUGAAAUGCUUAGAUAUGUUACAGAACACCGAUUGCGAAGGCAGUCUGCUACACCGUGAUUGACGCUGAGGCACGAAAGCGUGGGGAGCAAAC